Molecule: ribosomal RNA, 512 nt
Filed under: Candida albicans
Lineage: Eukaryota; Fungi; Ascomycota; Pichiomycetes; Serinales; Debaryomycetaceae
Description: eukaryotic LSU rRNA
Rfam family: 5.8S ribosomal RNA (bases 145-298)
Source: RNAcentral
AGGUUCCUGAUUGCUUAUUGCACCACAUGUGUUUUUCUUUGAAACAAACUUGCUUUGGCGGUGGGCCCAGCCUGCCGCCAGAGGUCUAAACUUACAACCAAUUUUUUAUCAACUUGUCACACCAGAUUAUUACUUAAUAGUCAAAACUUUCAACAACGGAUCUCUUGGUUCUCGCAUCGAUGAAGAACGCAGCGAAAUGCGAUACGUAAUAUGAAUUGCAGAUAUUCGUGAAUCAUCGAAUCUUUGAACGCACAUUGCGCCCUCUGGUAUUCCGGAGGGCAUGCCUGUUUGAGCGUCGUUUCUCCCUCAAACCGCUGGGUUUGGUGUUGAGCAAUACGACUUGGGUUUGCUUGAAAGACGGUAGUGGUAAGGCGGGAUCGCUUUGACAAUGGCUUAGGUCUAACCAAAAACAUUGCUUGCGGCGGUAACGUCCACCACGUAUAUCUUCAAACUUUGACCUCAAAUCAGGUAGGACUACCCGCUGAACUUAAGCAUAUCAAAAGGCGGAGGAA